GCCUUCGUGGUGUAAUGGUAGCAUACUCGGUGCGUAUUCGAGAGGUACAGGUUCGAGUCCUGGCGAGGGCA
Stegodyphus mimosarum is the source of this 71-nucleotide non-coding RNA. The record is from Rfam. Lineage: Eukaryota; Metazoa; Arthropoda; Arachnida; Araneae; Eresidae.